GUGAAUCAUCGAAUUUUUGAACGCACAUUGCACUCUUUUCGUAGAGUGAGCCUGUUUGUGGGUCAGCCUAAAAAACAUCGACAUAGUUCCUGUUACGCGGUAACAUUCGUCCGAAAUUGGGUGAUCUUAAACCUUUGGGUUUACUCGGCUUAAAAUUUCCUUUACGAAUCCCAGUACGUUUCUAACAUUUUAUUUUCUUAUACUGUUAAGGUAUCGAUCUUUCUUUGACGUGGCAGUUGCAUCGGUU
RNAcentral lists this unclassified non-coding RNA (247 nucleotides) under Glomus sp. RNAcentral describes it as "partial internal transcribed spacer 2". Lineage: Eukaryota; Fungi; Glomeromycota; Glomeromycetes; Glomerales; Glomeraceae. The record is from RNAcentral.